UACAGAGGGUGCAAGCGUUAAUCGGAAUUACUGGGCGUAAAGCGCGCGUAGGUGGUUUGUUAAGUUGAAUGUGAAAUCCCCGGGCUCAACCUGGGAACUGCAUCCAAAACUGGCAAGCUAGAGUAUGGUAGAGGGUGGUGGAAUUUCCUGUGUAGCGGUGAAAUGCGUAGAUAUAGGAAGGAACACCAGCGGCGAAGGCGACCACCUGGACUGAUACUGACACUGAGGUGCGAAAGCGUGGGGAGCAAACAGG
Molecule: ribosomal RNA, 253 nt
Filed under: uncultured bacterium
Lineage: Bacteria
Description: partial 16S ribosomal RNA
Rfam family: Bacterial small subunit ribosomal RNA
Source: RNAcentral